CUUUUCAAUGCUUUCCUAUGGGGAAAUGAGCAAUGCUGGAGGUCCUCACACAGCGUGAGGACAUCUAGCGACGCUCUAGCACAGGUUUCCUGUGCUAGGGACAUGGAAGUGCCCUCUAGUGGCUGUCUAGUAGACAGCCACUAGAGGUGGAGUUAACCCUGCAAGGUAAUUAUGGCAGUUUAUAAAAAAACUGCAAUAAUUACAGUUGCAGGGUUAAGAGUAGUGGGAGUUGGCACCCAG
This is a non-coding RNA of Pelobates cultripes (western spadefoot toad), 240 nucleotides long. Lineage: Eukaryota; Metazoa; Chordata; Amphibia; Anura; Pelobatidae. The record is from the annotation of a GenBank genome assembly.